UACGUAGGGGGCAAGCGUUGUCCGGAUUUAUUGGGCGUAAAGCGCUCGCAGGUGGUUCGAUGCGUCGUGCGUGAAAGCCCCCGGCUCAACUGGGGAGUGUCGUACGAUACGGUCGAACUGGAGGCCAGUAGGGGGAUGCGGAAUUCCGGGUGUAGUGGUGGAAUGCGUAGAGAUCCGGAGGAACACCAGCGGCGAAGGCGGCAUCCUGGACUGGUCCUGACACUCAUGAGCGAAAGCGUGGGGAGCGAUCCGG
This 253-nucleotide ribosomal RNA is filed under the name uncultured bacterium. RNAcentral describes it as "partial 16S ribosomal RNA". It matches the Rfam family "Bacterial small subunit ribosomal RNA", at positions 524 to 776 of the family's 1533-position model. The record is from RNAcentral.